GAGUGGAUAGUGAGAGAGAGAGACAGAGAGAAAGGUCUUCGUUUUUGCCGUUGGUUCACCCUCCAAUGGCCGCUGCGGCCAGUGCGCUGUGGCCAGCACAUCGCGCUGAUCCGAAGCCGGGAGCCAGGUGCUUCUCCUGGUCUCCCAUGGGGUGCAGGGCCCAAGCACUUGGGCCAUCCUCCACUGCACUCCCGGGCCACAGCAGAGAGCUGGCCUGGAAGAGGAGCAACCGGGUCAGAAUCCGGCGCUCCGACCGGGACUAGAACCCGGUGUGGCGGUGCCACUAGGUGGAGGAUUAGCCUAUUGAGCCGCGGCGCCGGCCAACACUAACUUCUGUAUGGUUUUGAGUAUGGCUUAGAAGUUCAUUUAGUCCUGAAUUCAUUUUAGAUGGAAAAGCUAAAAGCUGAAUAUUAAAUCAAUAAAAAAUUAUAAUAACUUAACUAGAGAAAACACAAGAGGGCAACCUUGUACAGCAAUAAAAUAUGUUUGCAUAAGAUAAAAAAUAAGUCAACAUUUUUAAUCAACUGUGGUUUUAUUCCAGUAGGAGACUUUUAAAGUCUUAUUAGUAAAUAUUGUCUUUUUAUUAACAGUUACACAAGUGUAACUUUGCAAAGGAAUUUAGCAUCAACAUCUAUACAAUGAAUUUUGCAAGAAUUUUAGUCUUGUUUUAAUCUCAAAAAAAGUGAAUUUAUUUUCCAUUGACCACUGUAUAUAUUGCUUGGUUUAAGUUUGUAGAAAAGCAAGGAAAUAGACUUGAUAUGCAAGAGAUACAAAAAUUACUCUUUUUCCCUUGGAUUUUACAAUUUACAUUUUCAAAGUGGAAAUAGUUUCAUGUUUUCUGAUUAGGAAAAUGUGAUCCAUGAAAUUUUAAUAGAAGACUAUUUUUAGAAUUGUUUAAACUGCUAGAGAGCACAGUCUAAUGAUCAGGAAAUGUAUAUAACCUUACACACAAUUCAAUUUCCUGACACAUAAAUGGCGCUGUAAUUCCAGUUGGAUCACUAGGUCCUAAAAACCCAUGGCACACCAAGAGAUGGUAGGCUUAAGGCACCCGUGCACAUGUUUGCAUGCACGAAUUCUUGCAGAUCUUGAUUUCAUCUGUAGAGCAAAUGCAGACAUCUGUGUGGUUUUUCUUACCAUCUGCUGCUGCCCUCGCCCAACUCACAGUAAUUUGGAGUUUCUGUGCUAAACAGCAUAGGAGAAGCAGGACCAAGGAAGCAGUAGUAGAUGUUUCUCCAAGCAUCGUAGUGGGAGCAAACCUGAAGAAUUCUGUGAUCAAAACGUGGUACUUAGAAAAGUGAUAUGGCACCAUAGUUUUAUUCAUCACCUUUCCUUUAUUUCAGAACACCUGAGAAGGACUACUUAGGGAGGAGGAAGGUUUGCCUGGGCUUACGGUUCCGCAGGCUCAGUGGCCCUACUUGUUGAAGCCUUUGGUGUUGCCGCCUCUGGUGAGGCUGGAGGGUGGCAUGAGGAAGCUGAGGGAGGCGGGAGCUGGCUCUUCCUCCACAUCCACGUGGCUCCACAGUGAUUGCCACCCUGGGGCUCCACCCUGGCAACCUAAUCCAAUCUGACCACUUUCCAAGGGCCCACCUUCAGACACCAGAAUUCCAUUAAGGAUAGCCAUGCACAGAAAGACUCUUGGAACCUAGACUUUAAUACGUGGGCCUUUAGGAGGAUACCCAGAUUAUUUCCCAAAUCAUAACAGUAGUUAAUUGCAUGGAGUUUGAAUCUUUAGUUCCUGUCUUAUACAAACUGUGACUUCAGACAAGUUUCUUGACCUCCCUGUGCCUGGUUUUCCUUCUCUAUACACUGCAGUUAUAAUAAUACCCAUCUCCUAAGGUCUGCUGUGAGACAUCAAUGAACGUACAGUGUUUAAAGCAGUGUCUAGUAUUAGGAAAGCUUCAUAUAGGUAUUUGCUGUCCUAGAAGUGAGCCUAAGAAAACCUGUAGCAGAAUUAAGAACCCAAGUAUCAGAAAAUGAAAUACAGGCAAGAACCCUGUUGUCAUGCAGAAGAAUAUCAUCAAAAUCUGUAAGAAAAAUUCAUAUUCUAACCAUUUGGCAAACUACCGUUGGUUAAGGAUUUUCCUCAGUUUUUAGGGAGAAAGAAAUGGAAAUUAACAACAGCAAUUUACUGAAUGGCACAGGGGUUUGGCUCAUAUUACCGUGUGGAAAAUCACACCUGCUUCUUCCCCUAUUCUGAGACGCGGUUAGUCUUUUUUUUGUUUGUUUUUUGACAGGCAGAGUUAGUGAGAGGGAGAGACAGAGAGAAAGGUCUUCCUUCUGUUGGUUCACUCCCUAAAUGGCUGCUAUGGCCGGCGCGCUGCAGCGAUCCGAAGCCAAGAGCCAGGUGCUUCCUCCUGGUCUCCCAUGUGGGUGCAGGGCCCAAGCACUUGGGCCAUCCUCCACUGCCCCCACCCCCACCCCGGCCACAGCAGAGAGCUGGACUGGAAGAGGGGCAACCGGGUCAGAAUCUGGCGCUCCAACCGGGACUAGAACCUAGGGUGCCAGCGCUGCAGGCGGAGGAUUAGCCAAGUGAGCCACGGCACCAGCCAAUAUGGGCCACUUUUAUAGUUACAAAAUAAUCUCUCAACGUAGGAAAAAAAAAUUCCAAAACUGGAAUCCCAAGACACAUGAGCCCUGUUCCUACCAUUGCCAUUAUGACUUUCCAAAAACAGGGAAAGGAUUCUCUGUGAUUCUGUGUUUUUUGGGUGAAUUUCCCAUCCCCAUUAUUGUGGCUUCUAAGUUGUUGGAAAAAUGAAUGGAAAGAUAAAUGAGUCAUUAAGAAAACUAUUAACCAUAUUGUACUUUUGUACUUUUGCUUUGUAUUAUUCCAUCUAAGGUUUCCAGUUAAGACAGACUGAUUAAAAUCUUACAAUAUAUUGGUAGGAAGAAAUUGUUGCAGUAAUUCAAGUGCUUGUGCACAUUUUUACCAAGAUGGUUUCUGAAUAUCAGUGAAAAUUUCUAUCAUGCCUUCAUGGUGCUUGAGCAACCCUGGAAUUUAGUGGGGUAUGAGGGCAGCCCAGUAUGUUAGGAGGAUUUUUGCUAAGCAAGCCUGCCUGAUUGAUUUUAUUUAUAACAUAAUUUCAUCUUGGGGGACUACCUAAUGUCUAAAUCUCUAACUUUCCAAGUUCUAGCAUUUAGCUUCCACAUUCUGAUUGGAGUGGAUGAGACCAACCACAUUUACGUGCAUAUACGUAGCCCUUGCUGUGCGAAAGACAAACACACUCUUGGUCCUCUUUGAACUUAACAGAAGGAAACAUUAAGCAAAUAAACUGAGUAAAGAAAUCUAAAAGAUACAGAGCAUGUGAUGGGACAUGACUGUCAAGCAGAUUGUGAGGAACGACUCUUUAAAGUUUACAAUUUGGCCUUUUUGUGUAUUCAGCUAAAUAUAUGUGAUCGUACUGAAAUAAUUUGCUGUGUCUGUGUCCACAUGGAUGUGUCUUUUCCACAGACUUAGAAUCUGAAGCCUGCUUAUCAGGGGUCUCCACCUUCAAAUUACAUCUCCAAUUUCUUCUUUUCCCACAUUUUUAUACAAGCCUUCUUUAAACAUGGGAAUGCCACGUGUCAAGUUAUACUCAGCACUGUGCUGAGCAAGACUUUGAAACUCCGAGCUCUGCAAGUGAGUGCUGUGUCCAGGGCAUUCAAGGUGAGUAUCAGUCACGGCCAGUCAAGGUAAGAUAAGCAUGUGCCUUUUUUAAAAAUCUUGUUCUGAAUUAUUUUUAAGGCCUCUUCUAGCUCUAAAAGUCCAAUUCCAUUUAUACACAUGGCUGUAUGGUAAUGAUAAUGAAAUUUGGGUCAGUACUCAGAUUUCCCCUUUCUUAUCAGGGCAGCGGUCACACUGGAUUAAAAUUCACCCUAAUGACCUCAUCUUAACUUGAUCAUCUGGAGAGACCCUAUUUCCAAAUAAAACGAGUGCAUUCAUAGACACCGGGAUUUAAGACCUCAGCUGAUCUUUGCGGGGUUGCAUGUUCAACCCAUGACAAUGGUAAGAUUUUGUUGCAGGAGUUCUGGUGUCAGUGUUGAAGGAGUAGUGGCAGGAGGAGUCUGUGGCUCCCGUUGCCUCUGCGUCUCAUCCCCCAGGAGACGUGGCAGAGUCGUCUUUUAGGCAGAUUCUUCGAGAGCAGCACAGCUCCUGUGCUGCAGCUCCUCCUAUCCUAGCUCUGCGUGCCAAGCUGCUCCUUCCUGCUUGGUUUGUCGAGUGUUGCUGUCUUCUACGGCUUUUCUUCUCUGCUGGAUUCGUCAAGGAGUGCUGGCAUCUUAUGGGUUACAGCUUCUCUACCUUGCCAGGCUCUUUGUCUUAUGACCAGGACAAGUGAGGCACACAGACAAGGAAGAAGAGAGCAAAGCAAAGGGUGUUUACUGAAGAAGAGAGAAUACCUCCUGGCAGCCUGGAGGGCUGCCCCAAAGGCCUGACGGGCCUGCCUGGCUCAGGAUUUUUAUGUUUCUUUUCUUUUCUAAGAUUUAUUUAUUUAUUUGAGAGGUAGAAUUACAGACAAAGAGAAAGGUCUUCCAUCUGCUGGUUCACUCCCCAAAUGGCUGCAAUGGCCAGAGUAGAGACGAUCCAAAGCCAGGAGCUAAGAGCUUCUUCUGAGUUCUCCCACGUGGGUGCAGGGGCCCAAGCACUUGGGUCCUCUUCCACUGCUUUCCCAGGCCACAAGCAGAGAGCUGGGUCAGAAGAGGUGCAGUUGGUACAUGAACCAGUGCCCAUAUGGGAUGCUGGCGCUGCAGGCAGAGGCUUAGCCUACCACGCCACAGCGCCAACCCCAUUUUUAUGGGUUUCUAAGUGAAGAAGUCGUCACUGAUUCAUCGAGGCAUAUGCUCACGGGAUUUUCUACAUGAGCCAGUUCGGGAACUGACAUUGGAGGAACCUGUUUUGCAUAGCAGAUUGCAGAGUACCCAAUCAGGUCUGUUAGGCAGAUGUAACAUCUGAAUUGCACUGUGCACAUUUCUGCCUUCUCCCCCUUCCACGCACUCCUGGAGGGUUAUGUUAUGUCUGUUUUUUUCCUUUCCUUUUCCAGGAGCUCCUGGAGUCCCUAUCAACUUCAAUAGAAGAGAAGGGGGGAGGGGCGGGCAGGGGUAGUUGAUGGGACACAUCCUAGAAGAGAACAAGGUGAAUAAUGCCUUACUAGUAGGAAGCACAGAGCAUGUCCAGAAAACCUCAAGUACGUUGUUGGGUUUUGUGAGAGCACAUUACAGGUGAGGGGUUGGGGGAGAGGGUCUUCGGCCCAACUGCUUUCCAGGUGUUGGCAGCUGCCCAAGCUUCCAGAGUGCCUAGUUCCAUCAUUGGUGCAUUAGACAGUUGCAUGUAGAAACUAGUGGAGACAGGCCAGCCACAGAGAGAGCUGUUGGGCUGCUUCCGAGAGGUCAGGCAGCAAAUCAGGGACUUCUAAUGACUGCUCUGGGGCCUUUUCCUUCAUCCUCAGACCCUCUACCACUGGGGUACCAAAGAGCUACUUGCUUGUGAUUCGCAAAUUCCCACAGUCCUCAUGGAUUUCUCCUUCCUGUCAGAAAAGUGGCCUGCAAGAUACUCCUGUGUUUCUCCAUCUGACGGUUGCUGUAUGAGUCACAGUGCUUGCUGCACAUGGCCAAAGGUUAUGUGUGUGGCUUGCUCUAAGGGGCCUGGGGGUUGCCUAUGACUCUUUGGAAAUUCUUUCUGCUUUUUUCUUUAGCAUUUUCAGAUUGAGUCACCCAAACAUCUUGAAUCUAAAAAAAAAAAAAAAACUUGAAAAGCAUCUUCUCCUUUAAGUUCUUCAGAGCUUUUCUUGCACCUUUUACUCCAAAGAGCGUGUAAAAGUGGGUUAGUGGCUGCAUUAGGCAGCGGCAGCCAGGAAGAUAUUGUCCGCAUCUGUGCAGGAUGCGUCCGCCCACGGCUGCCAUUGUGCUGGCCUGCGAUAUGCUUACAAGUAUGUGGGGGAUCCAGCAACAAAAGAAAUAAAAGUCCCAGAAAGAGAUGAAAGAUACCAUUGUGUUCAGGAGCAGGGGCGGUGUGGGUUUCAGAAUGUCCUGUUGUGUGCUCUGAGAGGAAGAGGAGCUGGCUCCGCGUAUAGUAUCAGCCAUAAAGACUACAGCGUUCCUAUCCGGGACUGUUUAUCUUGAGAUCCUCGUGUACAUUUAGAAUCUUCUUGGCUCGUCCUUUCAGAGAAUGCUAUGCUGGGCUUCGUCGUUCUCAGCACCUGACUUGCAGUUUUCCAGUAGCGUGCAGCGAACUGACUUGAUGGGUUGCCGCUGCUUUCUGCAGGAGCAUCCCACAGGUGAAGAAUAAGAGAAUCACGUCUCAGCCUGAUGGGAGAUCCCCAAUGCCCAGUGUUGCAAGUCACUGACAUACAGAAGCCACCAUGAAGGAAAGCUUGUCAAGGCAACUGAAAUUAGGACGCAGAUCUCAUUUGACACUUCUUUGAAAGGUGCUCUGUGCGUUGUGUAGAACGCCAUGCCUGCACACAUAGUAGUUAAAUAACAAGCAUGGUACGUUAUCCUUGUGUUCGAGAACACUGAGAUAUAAAAUCACUUUAAACAGACUCCCUCAAAAUGUAAUAGGAAAGGAAAACACUUAGGACUAUUUUUAAGUGUUAUGAACACUCAGUAAAUAAAGACAUUUAUUUAAAGAAACACACACGCACACACACAAAAAAGGGCUUCAAAAAGUUCAUAGGAAUGUAUAUUAUGAGAACAUAAUGCAUGAAUUUCAUUUCUUGCACCAAAAUAAGCUUAUCUUUUAAUUUCACUUUCCACGAACUUUUAAGUGCCUGUGUGUGUGUGUGUUGUGUGUGUGUGUGUGUGUGAACAGCAACAGUAGAGUAAAAUUUUUAGAAAAUAAUGCCCUCUUGCUCUCUCUUUUUCCUUUUUGCCUCCUAACUUUUUUUGGAACUACUUCUUCCUUUUCUUUCCUGUUCUACCUUGAGCUUGGUUCAUUCCCUUCCUUCUCUCAUUUUCACCUGUUAAAUUUUCUUCCAUUUCUGCCUGCCUUUUUCCUUAUCUCCUUUCACCACAUUAUAAAUAUAACUUCAUACGCAAUACAAUCAGUAUCUCAUUAAUUAUUAGUUAUUUUUAAAAAGAUUUACUUAUUUAUUUGAAAGUCAGGUUUACACACAGAGAGAAGGAGAGUCAGAAAGAGAGGUUUUCCAUCCACUGGUUCACUCCCCAGUUGGCCACAACGGCCGGAGCUGAGCUGAUCUUAAGCCAGGAGCCAGGAGCUUCUUCCAGGGCCCAAGGACUCGGACCAUCUUCCACUGCUUUCCCAGGCCACAGCAGAGAGCUGGAUUGGAAGUGGAGCAGCCAGGACUUGAACCGGCACCCAUAUGGGAUGCCGGCACGGCAGGCAGCAGCUUUACCCGCUAUGCCACAGCGCCAGCCUCUAAUUACUAGUGAUUAAAAUGUUUUAAUACAACCCCCCAAAACCCAUGCUUGUAACAAUUAAAAAAUAAAACUCAUGUACAAAUUAUUUUUUCUUUUUCAUUUUUUAUAAAUAACUCCAUUUUUCUGAUUCUAACACCAGAAUUUAAAAAUAAAAUAAAAAUAUAAAAUUACUACUUAACCCAAAUAAAUUAUAAUGAAAAUUUUAAAGAAACUACAUAGCUCCAGUGAUCUUGUUUCUGUCAACCUCUGUAUGACCAAAGAAAACACAACUGGCAAAAUAUCAAACUUUGGGACAUAAGAUAUAUAGACCUUUAUAGAGUAAAAAAGAUUGGUGAUAGGAAAUGCAGCAAUCACAAGAAAGUUUCCUGGGCAAAACGGUACCUGCAGAUCAAAGCAAAACGUUUGAGAUUCUAGCAGAGCAUCAUAACUUCAAAGGUCGUCCUCGGCACAGCCGUGAAUCUGCUUUGGGUAUGACGGCUCGAGAACCUGCGCAUCCGGAGAUGUUCCAGAUUAGCUUCCCAGUUGGACAGAAAGCAAUUAAAGGCGCGGGAAAGGAUGAUGGUUUGCACCCUGAAGCCCGGAAAUGCCUUUCCCAAACAUUGCUCUCUCGGGGAAUCUUCUGUCAGAUAAAAGCAUCAUUGGAUACCUUUCACAUUUUGUUUAGGAACUGAGUUUAACAAACUGCAAGUAUUCAGAUGCAGAAGAAUGGCAGAAAUAAACGGGAUGCUAGUUUAAAUACGGAAGGUUACACCAAUAAUAACUGAUGCUCUUUCCUCAAGAUGACUGUACCGAUGACCCCAUAACUCCAUUUCUUUUAUUAUUUUUCCCCAAAUUACAUGAAGGUUGAUUCAUUUCCCCUUCCUUCUGGUUGCCAACUUUCUGAGACUUUUUCAAUAUGCUUCAUGGAGGUUAGCUUUAUUACAAUUAGACUGGGGUGCAGAUGAAGUGGUGUUCAGAACUGGUAUUUCCAUACCAACACAGCAUACUUCUGUAUUGAAGUGGAACGAAGGUAAUCUCUCUCUGUGUUCACAUCAAUUUCUCUCUUCUCUUGUCUCAGUGAUAGUAUUUUAUUUUCUUACACAAACCUCAAAAGUUAUUGCCCAUGCUGUGCCCAGCGGGUACCUACUAAGGUUUGCAGGCUUCUUUUUCCACCAGGAUUCCAUCCCUGCCAAAUGUAAUUUGAUUUUAUUAUACCAUGGGGGCUUUCUUUUCCCCUGUCCUCAUGUUAUAAUGUAACUCAUCAAUAGUCAUUCAUCAAGGAGGUAAGCUGUUCUCAUGAUGGUCUACAAAGAGCGCCAAGAAUCCAUUCCUGCUGCUUGUUUAGGGCUGCCUUCAGAGAAGGCAGAAAAAAUUCUCUUUUUAAUUUAUUUUGAAAGGUAAAGUGACGGGGCAGGGAGUAGAGAUGGGAAAAGAGAAAGAUGGAGCCUUCUGUCUGCUGGUUCACUCUCCAGGUGCCUGCAACAGCCAGGGCUGAGCCAGCCCAAAGCUAGGAGCCUGGAAGUCCUGGGUGUCCCACAUGGGUAGCAGGACCCUAUAUACUUGGGCGGUUAACUGCUGCCUCCUAGGGUGCACAUUAGAGAGAAGUUGGAUCAGGAGCAGAGGCAGGACUCAGUUCAGCCACUCCAGUAUGGGAUAAGGGCAUCCUAAGCCGUGGCUUAACCCACUGAAACACAAUGCCUGCCCCCCGAAAAAAAGCAGAACCAUAUUUUCCUACCUGGACAUCAGCAAGGAAGUGAAUCAGGGCCAUGCUGUGGACAGGAUUCCGGCUUCUGAGUCCGGGUGAGCCUACCUGAGAGGUUCCACCACAACCAUCUCAAAAUUCUCCUGCUUUGUCAAGUAAACCAAGAAUGGGUUAUAUGGCCUACUUAUGUGCUAAUGUUUCAUUCUCACAGUAUCCAUGGUAGACAAAUAAAAGGUGUAAUCAAUCAGUAUCCCCUUCCAAAGGAGCAAUGAGUCAGGAGGAAGAUGAAAUCUAAGGCACGCUCCAACUUUAUAAGUCAUUGUCUAAAGCAUCGAUGUUUAUAACUAUGCUUGGAAUGUUUCAUCAGGAACAAAAUCGUGUUGGAUCUGCAAGUGGGACUAAUAAUAGAACUUACCUAGCAGGGCUAUAAUGAAGAUUAAAUAAUGCUUAUAAACCACCUAACACAAUUCCUACAUUAAUACACAGAAAUACUAGUAGCUAUUAAUUAGUACCUUGUUCACUGAACUAUACUUGCUCAUUUUUUAAAAAAUCUAUUUUAUAAUUGAAAGAGUUACAGAGAGAGGCAGAGCCAGAGACAGAGAGGUCUUCCAUCCACUGGUUCAAUCCCCAAAUGACCACAACAGCUAGAGCUGAGUUGAUCUGAAGCCAGGAGCCAGGAACCUCUUCUGGGUCUCCCACAAGGGUGCAGAGGCCCAAGUACCAUCUUCUACUGCUUUCUCAGGCCAUAGCAGAGAGCUGGAUAGGAAGAGGAGCAGCUGGGACUAGAACUGGCACCCAUAUAGGAUGCGGGCGCUGCAGGCCAGGGCUUUAACCCACUGCACCACAGUGCCGGCCCCUUGCUCGUUUUUCAAAGACAAAAAUCAAAGAGCUAGGCAGUCUUGUAAUUGUUCAAACUAAAAAAGAGGUGAUUCUUAAAAGGCACGUUUUGUUCUACCCACAUUGGUUAUUUAGUUGAUUUUCUCAGACAUUGCCACUUGGUUAAGAAAGAGGUGGUCACUUUUAGGAACUUACUUGUUUGUAUUGCAUUAUUCUCCAUAGUGUGCUCUCUGAUCUUGAGAUAAAGGGUUGGAACUGAAGACAAAGCAAGAAAUAAUAAUAAGAGUAAGUCUGAACUCUUUCCUUUUAUUUCACUUCUAUAGUGUGAAACAGUAUAACUACUGUCCUAUUUUUCCACUCAAGUAAUGCUGAAGAACCUUAGAAACCAAUUAAAUGUACAGGAUGGCACACUGUGCUGUUUACUGUGGUUGUUCUGUCCUGACCACCAGCUGCUGUAAUUUUGCUUCCCUUGUACACAUACUUUUUUCUGUCUAUGAACUACUGAAACCUACGGCUAUAUGAACCUGAUCGUAAAAAAACACGAAUUCUUCUUGUUCUUUUGUUCCUAAAAAACAAUCUAUAAAUUAAUGUGAUAUGUUUGGAGGUCAGUUUAAUUUUUAUUAAAGCUUUCAAUGUGAA
Non-coding RNA from Oryctolagus cuniculus (rabbit), 10507 nucleotides. Lineage: Eukaryota; Metazoa; Chordata; Mammalia; Lagomorpha; Leporidae. The record is from RefSeq and is a predicted model, not a curated record.